UGGGGGAAAGCCUGAUCCAGCAAUGCCGCGUGAGUGAUGAAGGCCUUAGGGUUGUAAAGCUCUUUUACCAGGGAUGAUAAUGACAGUACCUGGAGAAUAAGCUCCGGCUAACUCCGUGCCAGCAGCCGCGGUAAUACGGAGGGAGCUAGCGUUGUUCGGAAUUACUGGGCGUAAAGCGUACGUAGGCGGUUAUUCAAGUCAGGGGUGAAAGCCUGGAGCUCAACUCCAGAACUGCCUUUGAAACUGGAUAGCUAGAAUCUUGGAGAGGUGAGUGGAAUUCCGAGUGUAGAGGUGAAAUUCGUAGAUAUUCGGAAGAACACCAGUGGCGAAGGCGACUCACUGGACCAGUAUUGACGCUGAGGUACGAAAGCGUGGGGAGCAAACAGGAUUAGAUACCCCUGGUAGA
RNAcentral lists this ribosomal RNA (406 nucleotides) under uncultured bacterium. RNAcentral's name for it is "bacterial SSU rRNA". It matches the Rfam family "Bacterial small subunit ribosomal RNA", at positions 372 to 794 of the family's 1533-position model. The record is from RNAcentral.